RNAcentral lists this ribosomal RNA (1322 nucleotides) under human gut metagenome. RNAcentral's name for it is "bacterial SSU rRNA". It matches the Rfam family "Bacterial small subunit ribosomal RNA", at positions 99 to 1428 of the family's 1533-position model. The record is from RNAcentral.
CGAACGGGUGAGUAACACGUGAGUAACCUGCCCCUGACUCCGGGAUAAGCCUGGGAAACUGGGUCUAAUACUGGAUAUGACUACUGGCCGCAUGGUCUGGUGGUGGAAAGAUUUAUCGGUUGGGGAUGGACUCGCGGCCUAUCAGCUUGUUGGUGAGGUAGUGGCUCACCAAGGCGACGACGGGUAGCCGGCCUGAGAGGGUGACCGGCCACACUGGGACUGAGACACGGCCCAAACUCCUACGGGAGGCUGCAGUGGGGAAUAUUGCACAAUGGGCGCAAGCCUGAUGGAGCAACGCCGCGUGAGUGAAGGAGGCCUUCGGGUUGUAAACUCUUUUUGUUAGGAGCAAGGCACUUUGUGUUGAGUGUACCUUUCGAAUAAGCACCGGCUAACUACGUGCCAGCAGCCGCGGUAAUACGUAGGUGGCAAGCGUUGUCCGGAUUUAUUGGGCGUAAAGGGAUAGUAGGCGGUUCGUCGCGUCCGGUGUGAAAGUCCAUCGCUUAACGGUGGAUCCGCGCCGGGUACGGGCGGGCUUGAGUGCGGUAGGGGAGACUGGAACUCCCAGUGUAACGGUGAAAUGUGCAGAUAUUGGGAAGAACACCGAUGGCGAAGGCAGCUCUCUGGGCCGUUACUGACGCUGAGGCUCGAAAGCGUGGGGAGCAAAUAGGAUUAGAUACCCUAGUAGUCCAUGCCGUAAACGAUGAAUGCAGGAUGUUGUGUUGGAAGUCAAAUUUCAGUGCUGCAGUUAACGCAGUAAGUACUCCGCCUGAGUAGUACGUUCGCAAGAAUGAAACUCAAAGGAAUUGACGGGGGCCCGCACAAGCGGUGGAGCAUGUGGUUUAAUUCGAUGCAACGCGAAGAACCUUACCUGGGUCGUGCAUUUUUCCCGACGAUCCCAGAGAUGGGGUUUCCCUUCGGGGCGGGUUCACAGGUGGUGCAUGGUCGUCGUCAGCUCGUGUUGGGAGAUGUUGGGUUAAGUCCCGCAACGAGCGCAACCCUCGUUCCAUGUUGCCAUCGGUUCGGCCGGGGACUCAUGGGAGACUGCCGGGGUCAACUCGGAGGAAGGUGGGGACGACGUCAAAUCAUCAUGCCCCUUAUGUCUUGGGCUUCACGCAUGCUACAAUGGCCGGUACAAAGGGUUGCGAUACUGUGAGGUGGAGCUAAUCCCAAAAAGCCGGUCUCAGUUCGGAUUGGGGUCUGCAACUCGACCCCAUGAAGUCGGAGUCGCUAGUAAUCGCAGAUCAGCAACGCUGCGGUGAAUACGUUCCCGGGCCUUGUACACACCGCCCGUCAAGUCACGAAAGUUGGUAACACCAGAAGCC